This 640-nucleotide ribosomal RNA is filed under the name Bacillus stratosphericus. RNAcentral describes it as "partial 16S ribosomal RNA". The record is from RNAcentral. Lineage: Bacteria; Bacillati; Bacillota; Bacilli; Caryophanales; Bacillaceae.
GCUAGSUCACGACAUUUCUUCCCSGAUGUUAACGGCGGCGGAUGAGUGACACRUGUCUGACCUGCUGCCUGAACUGGGGUGAUUCCUGGAAACCAGAGCURAUACCGGAUAGUUCCUUGAACCGAAUGGUUCAGGGGAGAAUGACGGCUUCUGCUGUCACUUGCGCAUGGACCCGCUUAGCUUUARCUAGGUGGUGGGGUAAUGGCUCACCAAGGUCCCUAUGUGGACUCAACCUGAGAGGGUGAUCGGCCACACUGAGACUGAYCCCGACUCCUACUCCUAGSGGAGGCAGCAAAUAGGAAUCUUCCGCAAUGGACCAAAGUCUGACRUGCCAMCKGCRCGAGAGUGAUGAAGGUUUUCKGAUCGUAAAGCUCUGUUGAUAAGGAAGAACAAGUGCAUACCUUUCUGCUCGCACCUUGACGGUACCUAACCMGAAAGCUACGGCUAACUACGUGCCAGCAGCCGCGGUAAUGCUGAGGUGGCAAGCGUUGUCCGGAAUUAUUGGGCGGCAAGGGCUCGCAUUGKGUUUCUUAAUGUCUGAUGUGAAAGCCUCCGGCUCARACCUGGAGGGUCAUUGGAAACUGUUGAAACUUGAKUGCAGAAGGKAGARAGUGCAAUUCCACGUGUAACAUGCGAAAUA